RNAcentral lists this ribosomal RNA (255 nucleotides) under Escherichia coli. Its description in RNAcentral is "partial 23S ribosomal RNA". It matches the Rfam family "Bacterial large subunit ribosomal RNA", at positions 231 to 524 of the family's 2925-position model. Lineage: Bacteria; Pseudomonadati; Pseudomonadota; Gammaproteobacteria; Enterobacterales; Enterobacteriaceae. The record is from RNAcentral.
GAGAUUCCCCCAGUAGCGGCGAGCGAACGGGGAGGAGCCCAGAGCCUGAAUCAGUGUGUGUGUUAGUGGAAGCGUCUGGAAAGGCGCGCGAUACAGGGUGACAGCCCCGUACACAAAAAUGCACAUACUGUGAGCUCGAUGAGUAGGGCGGGACACGUGGUAUCCUGUCUGAAUAUGGGGGGACCAUCCUCCAAGGCUAAAUACUCCUGACUGACCGAUAGUGAACCAGUACCGUGAGGGAAAGGCGAAAAGAAC